RNAcentral lists this long non-coding RNA (6453 nucleotides) under Homo sapiens (human). RNAcentral's name for it is "LNC_000483". The record is from RNAcentral. Lineage: Eukaryota; Metazoa; Chordata; Mammalia; Primates; Hominidae.
CACAACUUGUAACAAAUUCACAAAGUGGCUAAGUAGAGUCUCUUCUCAAUUGGAGUGUCUGAUUUUACUGUGCAUUUCUUUGGGGCAUUUGAGAUUUGUACAUUUUUCUUUAAUAGAAGUUUCUAUAUUCCAUAUAUUACUUGCCCUACAAUCAUAAUUCCAUUGCCCCAGGAUAAAGCACUACCUAAUUGCAAGUAAUCUUCUUGCUCAUUUGUUGCAUGUUUAUUUCAAAUAACUUAUGCUUGGGGAAAACUUUCAUGUGCUUUGUAAAAUCCCCAGAUUGAGUUCAUAGUUGCAGGUAUCUAAAGAUUUGCCUUUGAAGACCUCAGGGAUUGAAUGAAAUACCAGAAGCUAUGCCCCAAAAUACAACCACUUUUGUUUUCUUGUGUUUGUAAUAAACAGUGUUAGAAUCAGACCCAAUUAACCCAGACUAUUUUUUAAUCUUUCUUUGGUCAGACGAAUCACAUUAAACAUGAUAUUAGAAAAAAAAACUUCUUUAAUGGGAAAUUUUACGAUUGAAAUGAUGUUUCAUCUUAUAGACCACAAACAAAUGUUUUUAGACAUUGAAAAGUGGUUAAAGACCAACUGCGCCCAGUCCCCCAAGUGCCAUUUUCUGAGUGCAGAAUGGAGGGUGACGUCUUGAGCUGAUGCUGUGUCCCCAGCAUCAGGUUUUCUGUUUUCCCUCUUCUCCCUUUAUUCCUUCCUUGUCCAUUGCCCUCAACCUUCUUUUUCUGUUUGCUCUGGCCUGGUUCAGUAUAACAUAUCCAUGAACUCUAGUAUGGGCCUACGGACAAUCAUAGCUACAAUCAGACUUUCUAAGCAAAUGGGAAUGUGAUAUACAUAUAACCAUUAGAAACCCUAUCAUCACCUCCUAGAGGGGAAGUGAAUUUCUUAAUUUUUUUAGUUGCAAGAGUCACUUCUUAGCCAACUGACUAGAGAAUGCAGAAUGAACAGGGGAGGAAGGAGCUGAUGGCACAGCCUUAGAACAGUAACCAGAACACACCCCCAUCAAGUGUCACCUCCAGGAAGGCGCCCCACCCCCAUCCUCCGUUUUCUGGGCUCAUAUUUAGGUAAAGCUCUAAGACUCCUGAGCCAACUUUUAUGUAACUGGCUUUCCUAGGCUGGGGCUUGAACUAAGUAAAGAAGCCAAGGAGUUCAGAUCUAGAUAGCAGAGAAGUAAGUCUCAUUCUAAAACAUUGCAACUACUGUUAGAGUCCACCCCAUGAAGCUGUUUCAGAUUGUGUAUCUUUGACUGAAUUCUAUAAGUAUAUAUUGUUCAGACUAAAACAAAUGUUGCUAGCUAGGUUGGCUGUGCUGUCUCAGUAGGACAUUGACAGACUCCAGCUUUCACCCUCUGGAGACCUUGGACCUAAGUGCCACAUGCAUUAUGAGACCUGGUCCAGGAGCUGUCCUGCCAUGGCUAGCUCACGGCUUGACAGCAAUACUUCUUCUCCUUCUCCGCCCAGCAUAGACUUGGUCACCUGAAAGUUAGAAGAUCAGUAGGAAGUUAAAACAUAUCUUGUGGCCUGUGGGGAUCUUGGCUUGGGCAAUUAUGGCAACCGUGACUACUGCAAAGAUGGCUUCAAAGGUGAAAUCUUUUGUAAGACUACAUUUAUUUAACUUGUUUGCCCCAUUUCAACACCAGCUUGGUUCUCCUUUUCCUCCCUGCUUUGACACUCUCCUUUUCUUCCUCACUGUGAAUGGGAUUGUUAUGCAAAUUCUGCUUUUGGCAGUGUCUGCCUGGAGUAAUUGGCAUUUGCCUGAAUUUCUCAGGCUUGCUCUGGAACAAAUCACCUGCUUCUCUAAUGAGCGUCAGCCUUGCAGCCCUCCAGAACAUGCAAAACGUGGAGCAGUCAACACUUACCUUUGUCUCCUUUUUCUCCCUUGUGUCCUCGAGGGCCAGGUGGCCCAGGAUGACCUGGUGGCCCAGCAGGGCCCCUGUCACCUGGAAGGAAAAAUGGGGCGUAACUAAGUAAUACAUGAGUCUGGGGACUGAGGGCACAGGUAGCCGGUGUGGCACCAGCACAGGAGCUGCUUUUCAGUACGAGGUGGGUGUUAACACAGGAUCCAGGGACUGGCUCUCUGCCACCACUUACCUUUGGGUCCUGGAGUGCCCAUCUCUCCUUUUUGCCCAGGGGGUCCUUGAAUGGCUCCAUAAGCUGCAAAAGCAAGGAAACACUGGCCUUAGAGUCUUGAUCACCUGGAAGCUUGGGACAUCAAGUCAUUUGUUCAGAGUAACACAGAGAGAUAGUGAUGGAGUUUGGACGUGUAAGAGGAAACAAAGUUCAGAAUUUAUAGAAUUUGUCUAAUUUUGAGCAUCUCAAAUGUUAAUAACUGGAGAUUUCUCAUGAGACUGGUGUCUCUGGAGCAGACCCGUGGGAACCUAUGCAGUGAGGCAGGUGCUGGGAAAGCAGUUGGAUGCCCUUACUUUGGAAGAAGUCCAUGAGGUCCGCAGUCACGUUGCUGUAGGCAGAGAAGACCUUGCUGAUGCCGGGUGGCCCCUGUGGCCCAGGCUGGCCUGGUGGGCCCUGGACAGUGUAGGCCAUCCCUUGCAGUAGGCCCUGACCUGUAAAACACCAGAGCUUGGGCACAGGAAGCAGGGAUCUCCCAGUACCCUCUUCAGCAGGAGCACAGUGCCCUCCGAGUGUCAAACUCCCAAAGCAGUUGAACUAGAUCAAGCCGCAGCAAGGGUGAAGCCCUCCAACUUCCUUUGUAUUCCACUGUGUGACUGGCACAGGUCUCUUCCUGCUGUGGGCCGGCAUCAAAAGCUUGUUGACUGCGUAACUGUGCCGUUAAGCUGCGCGGGGAAAGGACUCUUAGCCAACAUCCUUCUCUCGGCCCCAGCAGAAAAUCCAGCAUGGUCAUAUGACUCAUCUGGGACCCAGAACGAGCUAGGUGUUGGGAAAACAAAGUACAAAGCCCCCAGCGUGCUCUGUUCCCCACAGCUCGGGUCCCAGGACUGGGGCUCCUUAAGCUGAGUAGGCUGAGAGCUAGGCUGGGGCUGCCUGUCCCCUCCAGCCCCUGCCUGCUUGAUUCUGUCUUCACAGCCUGGGGGUUCCACAAACAAGAAAGCCAGUCUGGAGAUGCUCCCACGCUCCUUCCCCCCAGCACCAAGGCCUAAAUGUCCCCACUUACGCUGCAUGCUCUCUGACACCCUCACAGCCAGCUCAUUGUAAUCCAGAUCUCCAGCAAAGUCAGCUCCCAAUAGUCCGCCAUUGCCAGCAUACAUGCCGCCUUCUGCUGCUGCCCCAUAGCCUCCGCCUGGGCCGAUGUCAGUGCCAUAGGGACCCCUGUCUCCUGCAGCUUCACCAAAGGCACCGCCUGCACCCAGGGAGCCUGCACCACCUCCUCCUGUGCUCAUGGAAGAGCUGUAGGAGCUGCCCCGCCUGACAGAUGAGCUGUGUGAGGAGGAGCUGCUACCCCGACUGUGGGAGGCAUCCGUGGACAGGAGGCGGCUGUCCCCAGGGGGUCCCUGCGGCCCAGGAGGGCCUGGGGGGCCAACAAUGAAGCUGCGCACAUCAGGACCUGCAGGGUGACUCACGCUGCAGCACAGCCAGAAUGUCUUCAGAAGAGAUGGAGGACGAGAACAAGCUGACACCGUACCCCGAAGCUGUCGGGAAGAAAACCUCAGGUUACCUGCUUAGCAGGUACUGAAGCAACACCCUCACUAUUCCAGAAUCUGAAAGGCCCGGUCACCGAGCUGUUUGUCUUUGGGGGAAGUGGAUGAAUGGAGUAUUACGAGGCUAUUUUGAAAGCAUAACAAAGUCAAAUACUGUUGUUGGGAUUUUUUUUUUUUUUGUAAGAAAGGAAGUUUAUUUUUGAGAACAUGCUUUAGCCUAAUGCCUGCCAGAUGCUGCCAACCUUCAUGCACAGGUGGGAAGAACCUAUAAUUAGGAACACAUUAGUCAAUUGCCGGAAGGCUCACUCGGUGUCUCUCCAGCGUGGCCGCCCUGAAUCUGGACAGACCCUUGUUGACACUGUAUCCCAGUGGCCCGAUUAUUAUGAAUUCGGAAUUAAAACUCAUGUUCCAGAGAAGGGCAAAGCAAACAGCAAACGAGGAGAUGAGGCUCUGGGAGCAAAAGCAGACCCACAGGAGGAAGGUGCCAGGUGCAGGGCGUGGGGAAGGGCUUACUCCGUAAGUAGCUCACAACGUGGCUUGCCAGCUCUGAGUAGUCGAAAGUCUCGCCUGUGAUGGUGGUGACAGGUCCUGGGGGACCAGGUGGGCCUGGGGGACCCUGAACUCCGGAUAGGUAAGAUCUAAUACUGUCACCUGCCGACCAAGGAACAAAGCAAAGUCAAGCCUGUCCCAAGAGGACAUGUUCUCCCCACGGAGGUGACCUGAAGCACAUGAUAACAUGCCUGCCCCGCCCCACACAUGGGCCCAAGGCUGGGCCAGGAGGGAGCCUAGACUUCCCCUCACUGUCCUUCCCCUAAAUUACAGAUGGAGAAACUGAGGCAGAGGCCUGAGCUGGGUCAAGUGGCCCAUGAGGGCUGUGGGCCAGCAAGACUCCAGCCAGCCACCCAUUUGACAAAUGAGCACAUGCAAGGUGUGGUGUGAAAGCAUGUGCGUGUAGGGGAUGAGCACGUGCGCCAGCCUCCUCCCCAGGGUGUGGGCGAGGUGAGGCUGUGUCGGGGGCAGCUAUGAGAAGGCUGGUGUUGGGGAGCUCAUAGGCCUGUAGGCCUGGCUCUGCAGGGGGAAGACCUGGGCCUGGACACAUAGACACACACACACACACACACACACACACACACACACACUCCCACUGCCCUACAUCGUCCCAUGUCUCUUAGCCUCAUUUCUGUGAUGAUACCACAGCUCCCUUGCAAAGAGACUGUAUCUCCAUGUUCUUGUCCCCACGGCUUGCGGCGGCCAGCUACUCACUCUGCAUGUACUCAGAGAUGUACUGCUGAAUCUCCUGGCCAGAGCUGCUGAUAGAGCCCGGAGGCCCAGGGGGCCCAGGGGGCCCUGGCGGGCCUGACACGUACAUGGUACUUGAUGAUCCCCCUGCAGCAAAGAGAAAGCGUCCUGUGUCGGUUUCUCCACCCUAGGGUCAGACAAACGGGCCCAGGAAUAGCUUCCAUGGUCUGAGGAGGGAGGGUCUUCUCAGGAGGAGAAAUAGGAUAGUGGCAAGGAGAAGGGUCCCCGAGAAGAGAAGAAAGGACAGCCUGUAACAGCCACUGUCUGAAAGUGGCACAGAGCUAGGAAGCUGCCCCAGGCCAAACCGCCCUUUCCUUCUGCAACCUGCUGAAGGACCCCCAACAUCGCAUCCCCCUUCUCUCAACUCCCCAGCACCCUGGGUCUGUCUGUUCUCCAUCAUGCGGUGUCUGCAUUGUUAGGUAUCAUUAUAUGUACCUGGGUCCUUCCCCUCAACCCAAUAACUCGUAACCUCCUUAAAGGCAGCUCAUAGGUCCUAGCACAUGGAGAAGACAGCCAAUCAACAACGAAUCAUGGAGAAAUGAAUGAACGAAUAGAGCAACAUCCUCACUGGAAUGAUCAGCCUUCACCAGAAGAAGUGGAGAGGAACUUUGGUCACUUUCAGUUCUUACCUUCAGAAGGACCACUAGGAAUGCCAAGAGCCCCUGGAACACCUGGAUCACCUGGAAUCCAAAAUGAGAAGUUUGCCUCACCUCCUCCAGGAAGCCUUCCCUGGUUAAGCCAAACCACACUUAUUAGUGUGUGUCUCAACAAUCGUCCCAUGUCUCUUGGCCUCCUUUUUGUAAUAAUACCACAGCUCCCUUGUACAGAGGCUAUAUCACCAUGUCCUUGUCCCUUCCACCCUCUGGCCUUUCCUUCCUCCAGCCUCUUCUCUCUCCCAAGACUUUACACUGAUGAGUACUUGCUGCCAUCUCUUCAGGCUCUGGGCUCUGGGCACCAGGCUCACCCCUACUCCUCACCACCUUCUCACUGCUCCCUCACUGACCUUUGUCACCUUUGGGUCCCUGGGGGCCAGGUGGGCCUGGUGGUCCCUGAAGGUUGAGUCCGAAAGAACUGGACCCUGGAAGCCAACAACACACACAGUGCAGUCAGCCAGGGUUUGGAGAGGCUCUGGCCAGAGCCAGAAUGGGGCGGGGUUCAGCCCUUACCUGAGGUUGAGAAACCUGGGAGGCCUUGCUCGCCUGAGGAACACACCAAGGGAGGGACAGUCAGCCUCACUUUUCUCACCCACUAACAGCCCUGUAGAGCCUCCCCAAGAUCCAUGAUUGCUGGGGCUGCGUUGCCCUUUGGGCAGUACCUAGAGAUGCCACACACACACACACACACACACACACACGCACACGCACACUUGCACUACACCCAUGCACACACUCAACCAUUCCUAGAGAAACACUGCUCUACUCUUGCUUAUUUGCACCAGGUGCCUUUCUAUCAAGCUCAAAGCUCUUGGGAGGUGAGCUUUUGCCAUCCCCACCCCUACCCCAGGUUUUGUUUGAUGCCGGCUCUACUGUACCUUG